CCCUUAGAUGUUCUGGGCCGCACACGCGCUACACUGAAGGAGGCAGCGUGUACUCCUGGAUCGAAAGAUUUGGGUAACCCGCGAAUCUCCUUCGUGCUAGGGAUUGAGGUUUGCAAUUAUCCUUCAUGAACGAGGAAUGCCUAGUAAGCGCAAGUCAUCAGCUUGCGUUGAUUACGUCCCUGCCCUUUGUACACACCGCCCGUCGCUCCUACCGAUUGAAUGGUCCGGUGAAGCGUUCGGACCGUGGCCUUUGGACGGUUCGCCGUCUGUUGGCUGCGGGAAGUUCGUUAAACCUUAUCAUUUAGAGGAAGGAGAAGUCGUAACA
RNAcentral lists this ribosomal RNA (325 nucleotides) under uncultured eukaryote. RNAcentral's name for it is "partial 18S ribosomal RNA". It matches the Rfam family "Eukaryotic small subunit ribosomal RNA", at positions 1470 to 1796 of the family's 1831-position model. The record is from RNAcentral.